GUGGGGAAUCUUGCGCAAUGGGCGAAAGCCUGACGCAGCCAUGCCGCGUGAAUGAUGAAGGUCUUAGGAUUUUAAAAUUCUUUCACCGGGGACGAUAAUGACGGUACCCGGAGAAGAAGCUCCGGCUAACUUCGUGCCAGCAGCCGCGGUAAUACGAAUGGGGCUAGCGUUGCUCGGUAUUACUGGGCGUAAAGGGCGCGUAGGCGGACAGCUUAGUCAGAGGUGAAAGCCCAGGGCUCAACCUUGGAAUUGCCUUUGAUUCUGGCUGUCUUGAGUUUGGGAGAGGUGAGUGGAACUCCGAGUGUAGAGGUGAAAUUCGUAGAUAUUCGGAAGAACACCAGUGGCGAAGGCGACUCACUGGCCCGUUACUGACGCUGAGGCGCGAAAGCGUGGGGAGCAAACAGGAUUAGAUACCCGGGUAGUCC
Molecule: ribosomal RNA, 425 nt
Filed under: uncultured bacterium
Lineage: Bacteria
Description: partial 16S ribosomal RNA
Rfam family: Bacterial small subunit ribosomal RNA
Source: RNAcentral